AACGAACGCUGGCGGCAGGCUUAACACAUGCAAGUCGAGCGCCCCGCAAGGGGAGCGGCAGUCGGGUGAGUAACGCGUGGGAACGUACCCUUAUCUUCGGGAUAGCUCCGGGAAACUGGAAUUAAUACCGAAUGUGCCCUUUGGGGGUAAGAUUUAUCGGAUAAGGAUCGGCCCGCGUUGGAUUAGCUGGUUGGUGGGGUAAAGGCGUACCAAGGCGACGAUCCAUAGCUGGUCUGAGAGGAAGAUCAGCCACAUUGGGACUGAGAAACGGCCCAAAAUCCUACGGGAGGGAGCAGUGGGGAAUAUUGGACUAUGGGGUCAAGCAUGAACCAGCCAUGCCGGGUAAGUGAUGAAGGCCUUAGAGAUGUAAAGCUCUUUCACCGGAGAAGAUAAUGACGGUAUCCGGAGAAGAAGCCCCGGCUAACUUCGUG
RNAcentral lists this ribosomal RNA (431 nucleotides) under uncultured bacterium. Its description in RNAcentral is "partial 16S ribosomal RNA". It matches the Rfam family "Bacterial small subunit ribosomal RNA", at positions 29 to 507 of the family's 1533-position model. The record is from RNAcentral.